RNAcentral lists this transfer RNA (91 nucleotides) under Yarrowia lipolytica. RNAcentral describes it as "partial transfer RNA". Lineage: Eukaryota; Fungi; Ascomycota; Dipodascomycetes; Dipodascales. The record is from RNAcentral.
UGCGAAUUCUGUGGAUCGAACACAGGACCUCCAGAUUUCAAGACUGAGAACUACUUCAGUCUGAGCGCUCUCCCAACUGAGCUAAAUCCGC